This 467-nucleotide long non-coding RNA is filed under the name Salmo salar (Atlantic salmon). Its description in RNAcentral is "lncRNA (ENSSSAG00000082127.1)". Lineage: Eukaryota; Metazoa; Chordata; Actinopteri; Salmoniformes; Salmonidae. The record is from RNAcentral.
CCCUACCUCACCUCGCUCAUCAACGCAUCCUUGACCGCUGGCUACGUCCCUUCCGUCUUCAAGAGAGCGAGAGUUGCACCCCUUCUGAAAAAAACCUACACUCGAUCCCUCCGAUGUCAACAACUACAGACCUAUCUGCUGCCUUUGAUACCGUGAACCAUCAGAUCCUCCUCUCCACCCUCUCCGAGCUGGGCAUCUCCGGCACCGCGCACGCUUGGAUUGCGUCCUACCUGACAGGUCGCUCCUACCAGGUGGCGAAUCGCAUCUCUGCAUGUCUGGCAGACAUAUCAGUGUGGAUGACGGAUCACCACCUCAAGCUGAACCUCGGCAAGACGGAGCUGCUCUUCCUCCCGGGGAAGGACUGCCCGUUCCAUGAUCUCGCCAUCACGGUUGACAACUCCCUUGUGUCCUCCUCCCAGAGUGCUAAGAGCCUUGGCGUGACCCUGGACAACACCCUGUCGUUCUCC